RNAcentral lists this ribosomal RNA (79 nucleotides) under Enterocytozoon bieneusi. Its description in RNAcentral is "partial large subunit ribosomal RNA". Lineage: Eukaryota; Fungi; Microsporidia; Enterocytozoonidae. The record is from RNAcentral.
GCGAGCGGCAGUAGGGUGCCAUCAAGAGGUGUGUUUGGAAAUAUCCCUAAUACAGGAUCACUUGGAUCCGUCGGCGAUA